Molecule: ribosomal RNA, 398 nt
Filed under: uncultured Lactobacillus sp.
Lineage: Bacteria; Bacillati; Bacillota; Bacilli; Lactobacillales; Lactobacillaceae
Description: bacterial SSU rRNA
Rfam family: Bacterial small subunit ribosomal RNA
Source: RNAcentral
CACCUGGAAACAGAUGCUAAUACCGGAUAACAACAGAUGAUGCCUAUCAACUGUUAAAAGAUGGUUCUGCUAUCACUCUUGGGAUGGACCUGCGGGUGCAUUAGCUAGUUGGGUAGGGGUAACGGCCUACCAAGGCGAUGAUGCAUAGCCGAGUUGAGAGACUGAUCGGCCACAUUGGGACUGAGACACGGCCCAAACUCCUACGGGAGGCAGCAGUAGGGGAAUCUUCCACAAUGGACGCAAGUCUGAUGGAGCAAACGCCGCGUGAGUGAAGAAGGGUUUCGGCUCGUAAAGCUCUGUUGUUGGUGAAGAAGGACAGGGGGUAGUAACCGACCUUUGUUUGACGGUAAUCAAUUAGAAAAGUCACGGCUAACUACGUGCCAGCAGCCGCGGUAAAU